RNAcentral lists this long non-coding RNA (5701 nucleotides) under Olea europaea (common olive). RNAcentral describes it as "long non-coding RNA (OEUR_LNC013094)". The record is from RNAcentral. Lineage: Eukaryota; Viridiplantae; Streptophyta; Magnoliopsida; Lamiales; Oleaceae.
CUUUAUUGGAGCCACCGAAUCAUUCUAAAUCGGCUAAGUGGAUAUUGACUUGUUAUUUGUUAAGCAUUUCUGCAUUUAGCCUACACUUUAUAUUUGAACGAAUCACAAUUGUUAUUUAAGAGUGUUGUAGUGACUAGCAACCCAACAAAGUGAGUCCCAAGUAUAAAUAUUCACAAAAUGAAUGACAAAUAGCAGUUGAAAUUCUACUUUUCCUCUAUUAGAUAAAUGCAAACCAUUGAAAUUCUACUUUUCCUCUAUUAGAUAAAUGCAAACCAGUUUGACUUGAGAAAAAAAAAAUUGUAGGCAUGAAGAUUGAAGAGGUAAGAAUAAGAAAGAAAGCAAAAUGAUUAAGAUUGAUCACUCCCCUUUUUAUAAGUUGUUGACGUCAAUUGUAUGCCACGGGAGAGUCCACUUCCGCGCCCAAAGUGCAGGCUAACAAUGGCACUAUUUUAUCCUUUUGAAAUUCUCCAAAACGAACCGAAGCAGCAGCUCAAAGCUUCCAAAUUGCUGUAAGUUCAGCUGAGCAUAUUAAAAUAAGUGUUUUAUAUCAUCUUCUUUUUCUCACCUGUGUAGUCACCAUUGUAAUUGCCAACACGGACUUCUAUUUCAGAUAGAAUAUUCCAAAAAUUACCAAGCCUAGGUCAUCAAAUAGCUGAUUGUUGGCAAAAACUUCCUGGGCAAAAUGGCCCAAGAAAAUAAUAGGCCCAAUUCCGUGUAUCUCCAAAUGGUGAAUUAAAUGGCGUUAUGAGGCUUAAGGAAAAUACAUGAGUACAGCAGCCCAAAACGAGAAUACAAAGAGUCCAAACAAUCACUUCAUACCAUAAUGAGUCAUGCGACCAAAGAAAAUAAAUCUUGAGCCCAAUUUAAGCAUAAUAUAAAACGGGGAGCUCCAAUGAAUUUCCACUUUAAACUUUUGACUUUGUAGAAUGGGCCCAAGUGGAUAAUGGAUUAAUUAGCCCAAAAUAAAGCGAUAGGAGAAAGUCUUUGUACCAAUCGGCCUCGAGAGAAUUAGUGCAGAAAAUAAAGCUGGCAAAGUACAAAUAUCUGAUUGGGAAAAAGUCCUCAUAGUGCUGAAAGGGAAAGGCCAAGAUAUUAGGGAGACACGUCACCUUAAAGGACAUAUUAGGCUGCUAGAUGUGAUAUAUCUCUCCAAACCAGACACCAUUCAAAGAAAACCAUGGCUACCAAAACCACUUUGAGAGAAAGCAAUCGAAAUAGUUGGUGAUUACCGGAGGCAUUAAACUGGUCUCCGCAAUGGGUAGAGGCUAAAUUGGUCCAAUUGGUUCCACACCUUUGGUGCAUGAUAGUGCGGGGCAUUUGGUUGUUAGCAAUUGGCUUGAAUAAUGGUGCAAGAUCUAUCAAUUGAAGAAGACACGGCAGUCACUUUAGGCUAGCGAUUCGAGACAUAAUUGAUUUGAAAAAUUGGAUCGAUUGGAGGCUGGAUUGAAUUAAUUAAAUGCACACCCAAGUUCAUAUGAGGAUACUAGAUGCUUAAAUAGUGGUAAUUUGGUGAAAAAUGACAUAGGACCCCCUCAAUUGGAAAAACCGCUACUGCCUCAUCGUGCGUGCUAACUUGGCUUGUUUUCCCAAAAUAUCUAGCCAUGUUUAAGACCUGUAUUGGUGAUGUUAAUACAUUAGGAUGGUAGUGUAGAUGAGGGGAGAUGAAGGGUGGUGGCCGGCCAUGGGUGUUGCCAGAAGUGGUGGAAUCAAUUUAUAUAGGGCAUGUAGAUCGAGGCGGUUCCCACCAAUUUCUACCUCUAAUUGGAUAUUUGGAUCUGUUAAUUGUUGGAUUGUGUUUUUGGUGAGAUUCCAUCGGCGUAGAGGGCAAUUUCUUUGUGGCAAGGGUGGCGACAAGAUGGUGGUAUGGGUGAUAAGCACGACAAAUGCAUAAGGGGGCAAAAAUCACUCUUCUUGAGGAAAGAAAAUUAAGUCCAUUAUUGAUUGCUAUCUUUUCCACUUUCAAGUAGAAGACUACUAGGAAAAUACCUCUUUUUGACGUGGCUUAUUGUUGUGGUAAAAACAUGGUUAUUGUAUCGAGUUCCCACAGACAGCGUCAAUGAUGAUGCCAAAAAUUGUACCUGUGAUUUUUCGAGAUUGAGGACCCCAGAACAAACACAAAUAGAGCCUUCCAACACCUAAAAAAGGCAACGAUGUGUGUCCUCGUCGUCCCUUCGAUGCUUAAGUCAGACGAGGAAUUUAUUUGAAAGUAUGUGCUGAAAUUGUAUUGUAAAAACGUACCUCAAUAAUGAGCAUUGGUCCAGUAUUUAUAGAUGUUGGUGGUUGAAUUGUAAAAGAAUUCAAUUAUCUUAUAUAGUGAUUGAGUUAUAUUACAAUUACCUUUAGGAGUUUGAUUUGGAUUGUAAUAAGUUUAAUAUUUGGACAAGGAUGAAUGACCGAGACAUGGGAGGACUGAAACAUGUAAAAGUUACUAGAUAAGGACAAGAUAAUCAUUAUCUUUACGUAUGGCCCGACCUCAUAAGCCUCGACCUAAACUCUAAAGCCCAACCUUAAUUCUUGGAUAAUUGAAGGAGGGCGGGAUCGGGCUUUCGAGUUUGAGAUCGGGUGUUGCAAAAAUUGUGCACCUCAAAACCUAUGGUUGAAAAAUUAUAAAUCCUAUGAAAUGGCUUUUUACAUGAAAUUUUAAUUAGAAUUUAACUUAAUAGGAGCUAAAUAGAAUACUAUGAAGGCAAGCAUAAAUAGGAGUCUUAGUUUUGAUCAUGGAAGUACGAAGAAAGAGUGAAAACAAAUAUAGAACCUUUGUUGAAGGAUGUUAUGAAGAUCAUCAUCAACUUUAAAGAAAUCUCUAGAAUCUUGUGAUUGCUUCCACUUGUGUAUUUUUGGUAGUUGCUGAAACCAUCUACAAUUGACGCCAAGGUGGAGAAAAUUCUAGACAAGCUGCUUUAUUAUUUUCGUCACCAAUUGCAAAGAAUGAUCUAGAAUUAUCAAAGGCCAUUUCCACCGCCAUCCUAGAAGAUUCAGCCACCGACCUUGCAUGUGUAUAUAUAUGUGUGUUCGCCGUGUGUAUAUGGGUAGAGAAAAGAAAAGAGAGAUAGAAGCAGCAGUACAUAUGUAGAGAGAGUGAUAAAGAGAUAGAUAUAGUGGGUGAGAGAGAGAAUUGUGCUGAUGAAAAUAGUUAGUUAGGUAUUACAAUUAAUAUCGAAUUGCUUGCUUAGAGUGUGGAAGGGUGUAUUUGUCAAAAAUUAAUUGUACAAGUUCCUUGUGUAAUAAAAACAAUUUCUUGUGUGUUCCAAAUUCAACAAUUGGUAUCAGAGCAAGGCAGUCUGGGAAGGAUUUUUUGAGCUUCUUGAGUUCUUGCACAAAAGGAGUCUGUGAAGCUUUUGUAAAUUUUGCUUGAUUAUGAGGAGGUAAAUCAAGUCAGGAUGAACGAUCUACAAGUGGUAGGCGGUGUAAAGAAGCUCAAUAAUCAUAAUUACACCACAUGACAAACUUGCAUGGAAUCGUAUCUCCAAGGGCAAGAUCCGUGGGAGGUAGUUGGCGGAAGUGAAGUAACGCCACCAGAGGAGGCCGGAGCUUUGAAGAAAUAGAGAAUCAAAACGGGUAAGACUUUGUUUAUUAUAAAGACAACAAUCGAAAAAGAAUUAUUAGAGUACAUAAGAGACAAGAUUAUACCAAAGGAUGCAUGACACACUUUGGCCUCACUAUUCUCAAAGAAAAAUGCCUUGAGGUUGCAAAUUCUAGAAAACGAGUUUCUCUCGAUCACUCAAGGAUAAUUAACCGUAAGCCAAUACUUUAAUAAAGCUAAAUCUCUCUGUCGUGAAUUUCCAGGUAUAGAUGCUUCAAGUAAAAUUUCGGAGUCGAAAAUGAGAAGAAUAAUUAUAUAUGGUUUGAGAUUCAAAUUUAGAAGUUUCAUCACUGCAAUACAAGGUUGGCCAGAGCAGCCUUCAUUGGUCAAUAUUGAGAAUUUGCUAGCUGAUCAAGAAGCAUUAACAAGACAAAUGUUAGGGGUCUUACUAAGAAAGAAGAGGAAGAAGCAUUAUUUAGUUAUAAAAGAAGAGAUCGACUCCAUGAACAAAAUAAUAAAGAAUUAGUAGAAGAUAAAUUUAAAGGAUGGGUUGAAGGAAGUUACCAGACAAGGAGAGUUCAAUGAAGCUGCUAUAGGAGAGAUCAACCAUUCAAGUGAUUCGAACGAAAUAAUGGCUCAUGUUUUAUAUGUGGUAAACGAGGCCAUUAUGCAAAAGAUUGCUGGUUUAAAAAGGAGCCAGCAGAAGGCAAUAUGACAACCUCCAAUGAAGAGAAAUAUGAUAGUGAAAAAGAAUGGGACAUUGAGGCACCGAUAACAAUGAUUUAGCAGACUCGAGAAAAGAAAUUCAAUUCGAGUUUAAAGAAUGAAUCCGCAAUGGUGGUAGUCCUGCGUGAUCAAUUAGAUUCCAAAGAUGAUUGGGUUAAUGAGUCAAAAGAUGAUGACUCAUAAGAAGAUUGGAUCGAUGACUCAAAAGAGGAAAUCGAGGUUCAGGAAGAGUCUUCAGGGUGGAUUUCGCAGAGGGAGAAACUACCAGAUUCAGAAUUAGAAGAAGUGUUUGAAAAAAUGUAGACACCGCAGAGGGUGAAUUUGCUAGAGCAGAUACCGCAGAGGAUGGAUCUACUGGAUCAAACACCGUAGAGGGUGGAGCAGACACCAAAGAGGGUGGAGCUGCUAGAUUUAAAAAAAAUGGAUGACAAAUUGCAAGAGGAAAUCACGGAAGCACGACAAGCCCUAGAGAAAGUAAAGAUUUGUGAAUACUAAGUAAUAAAUAAAUGUUUAUUAGAGCAACACAGAGUACAAAGGAUAAAAAAUGUUGACAAGCUAUUAAGGUACGUAUAAAUCCACAAUCACAAAUUAGAAAAUCGGGACGACGUGAGAAUUCAAGCACCAAGUAUCCUAAUCUAAAAAUCAGAGAAAAUGAAAGCAUGGAAGAGAUAAAUACAUUCGAAGUGGCAAAUAUGUUGAAUGAAGAACCAAGCACUUCAAAAUUUGUUGAGGCAAAAUUAAAUGUGACGAAAAAGAAAAGAGUCAAAAUGGAAAGUCGGUGCUGAAGGAGAGAAUUGAAAAUCAUCACCGACUUUAAAGAAAUCUCUAGAAUCUUGUGAUUGCUUCCACUUGUAUAUUUUUGGUAGUUGCUGGAACCAUCUACAAUUGACGCCAAGGUGGAGAAAAUUCUAGACAAGUUGCUUUAUUAAUUUCGUCACCAAUUGCACGAACGGUCUAGAAUUAUCAAAGGCCAUUUCCACCGCCAUCCUAGAAGAUUCAGCCACCGACCUUGCAUGUGUAUAUACACGUGUGUUUGCCGUGUGUAUAUGUGUAGAGAAAAGAACAUAUGCAGGGAGAGUGAUAAAGAGAUAGAUAUAGUUGGUGAGAGAGAGUUGUGCUGCUGAAAAUAGUUGGUGGGGUGUUACAAUUAAUAUCGAGCUGCUUGCUUAGAGUGAUGUUAUUUAGAGUGUGGAAAGGUGUAUUUGUCAAAAAUUAAUUGUACAAGUUGCUUGUGUAAUAAAAACAAUUUAUUGUGUGUUCCAAAUUCAACAUGUUAGAGCUGGCAUCAAGCAAUGUUGCAGCCAUAACUUCUUUCUUUACCGGAAUAACCAAAACUAAUUCUCAACGAAAAAAUAGCUACUUCAAGUUCAAAGAGGUCUGAAUUGGAAAAGGAAGAGACACGUGAGUUGUUAAAAAAGAGAAGAAACUGAAAUUCGAUCACUUGGAAUAGAA